RNAcentral lists this non-coding RNA (179 nucleotides) under Acidobacteriota bacterium. Its description in RNAcentral is "6S RNA". It matches the Rfam family "6S / SsrS RNA". Rfam says of the family: E. coli 6S RNA was the first non coding RNA to be sequenced, but its function was unknown until recently. It consists of 184 nucleotides that fold into an extended hairpin structure with a large single-stranded internal bulge. The record is from RNAcentral. Lineage: Bacteria; Pseudomonadati; Acidobacteriota. RNAcentral also lists the same sequence under 1 other name.
GUCGCCCUGCGCUGCGCGUGACAUCACAACAGUUUUGGGCCAACACCCAUGCCAAGGGAGCUCGGGCUUCGCGCCGGGCGCGACGUCCCGCUUUGCGGGAUAUGCAACUUGCGCGAGAGAGCACCCACCUUGCCUAUGGGUCCAAAAACUCGCGGAUGCACGGCACUUGCGGGGCCCUC